UUCCUCAACAGCUAGCCCAACCCACACCCACCAACAAACCACAUUAAUAUCCUCUAAUGCACUUCCCCAAAACAUCAAACCAUUUUUCCACCCAAGUAUAGGAGAUAGAACGGGAUCUGAGGCGCGACAGAACAAGUACCGCAAGGGAAAGCUGAAAGAGAGAUGAAACAGCUCAACGAAGGAACUUAAAGCAGAGCUUAACCCUCGUACCUUUUGCAUCAUGCUUUAGCUAGCAACUUCAGGCAAAAAGCCUUUUAUGUCUGACCCCCCGAAACCAAGCGAGCUACUCCAAGACAGCCUGUUGAAGGGCAAACCCGUCUCUGUGGCAAAAGAGUGGGAAGAUCUUUGAGUAGAGGUGAUAAGCCUACCGAGCUUGGUGAUAGCUGGUUGCCUGAGAACAGAAUAGGAGUUCGACUUUUUAGCAUCUUUAAUCGACCCAGGUCUUUCCCACAGUCCGGCCAAGAGAUUACUAAAAGAGAUAUUCAAGGGAGGAACAGCUCCCUUGAAAAAAGAUACAACUUUCUUAGCAGGCUAAAGAUUACAUUUGAUAAGGCACCAACACCCAGGUGGGCCUAAGAGCAGCCACCCUAAAAAAAAGCGUUAAAGCUCAAGUGUUCAAACCCUAGUAUUUCAACAACCCAAUCUUAUGCCCCUUCGAUUACCAGGCCUCUUCAUGCACUUCAUGAAGGUGUUUAUGCUAAUAUGAGUAAUAAGAGCGCUAAGGCUCUCUCGUGUGCACCUGUGUACAUCAGAACGAACCCCCACUGAAAAUUAACGCCCCCACAAAGAGGCUGCUGAGCAAAGGCACAAAGGACUAGAAAACCCCUCAAACUACAAGCGUUAACCUCACACCAGUGUGCCCCACGAAAGACAUAAAGAAAAAGAAGGAACUCGGCAAACAUCUGGCCUCGCCUGUUUACCAAAAACAUCGCCUCUUGCCCAAUAUAAGAGGUCCCGCCUGCCCUGUGACGAAAGUUUAACGGCCGCGGUAUUUUGACCGUGCGAAGGUAGCGUAAUAACUUGUCUUUUAAAUAAAGACCUGUAUGAAUGGCAUAACGAGGGCUAAGCUGUCUCCUUUUUCCAGUCAUUGAAAUUGAUCUCCCCGUGCAGAAGCGGGGAUAAAGCCAUAAGACGAGAAGACCCUAUGGAGCUUCAGACGCCAGGAUAGCCCCUGUCAAGACCCCCGCCUGCUCGGGACAGAACCACAAGGGCCCCUAUCCCCCUGUCUUUGGUUGGGGCGACCGCGGGGAAACAUAAAACCCCCACGUGGAAUGGGCACAUUACCCUAAAGCCAGAGCCACAGCUCUAGCAAACAGAAUAUCUGACCAACAAGAUCCGGCACCGCCGAUCAACGGACCCAGUUACCCUAGGGAUAACAGCGCAAUCCCCUUUUAGAGCCCAUAUCGACAAGGGGGUUUACGACCUCGAUGUUGGAUCAGGACUUCCUAAUGGUGCAACCGCUAUUAAGGGUUC
RNAcentral lists this ribosomal RNA (1473 nucleotides) under Eviota abax. RNAcentral describes it as "partial 16S ribosomal RNA". It matches the Rfam family "Bacterial large subunit ribosomal RNA", at positions 21 to 2574 of the family's 2925-position model. The record is from RNAcentral. Lineage: Eukaryota; Metazoa; Chordata; Actinopteri; Gobiiformes; Gobiidae.